Molecule: ribosomal RNA, 408 nt
Filed under: uncultured bacterium
Lineage: Bacteria
Description: partial 16S ribosomal RNA
Rfam family: Bacterial small subunit ribosomal RNA
Source: RNAcentral
UGGGGAAUUUUGGACAAUGGCGCAAGCCUGAUCCAGCCAUGCCGCGUGCGGGAAGAAGGCCUUCGGGUUGUAAACCGCUUUGUCAGGGAAGAAAUCUUCUGAGUUAAUACCUCGGGAGGAUGACGGUACCUGAAGAAUAAGCACCGGCUAACUACGUGCCAGCAGCCGCGGUAAUACGUAGGGUGCAAGCGUUAAUCGGAAUUACUGGGCGUAAAGCGUGCGCAGGCGGUUUUGUAAGACAGAGGUGAAAUCCCCGGGCUCAACCUGGGAACUGCCUUUGUGACUGCAAGGGCUUGAGUGCGGCAGAGGGGGGAUGGAAUUCCGCGUGUAGCAGUGAAAUGCGUAGAUAUGCGGAGGAACACCGAUGGCGAAGGCAAUCCCCUGGGCCUGNANUGACGCUCAUGCACG